GCGUUUUUUGUAUAAAGUGAGAGAGGCGAGUGAGAGAGCGAGAUCUGGGAGAGUGGCGAGUGAGAUCUGGGAGAGGGGAGAGAGGGGAACGAAAAUAUAUGUAUUUAUACAAUUUUCUCUCGCUUUAUACAAACACAAACGCACUUUAUACACUUGCGUUUGUAUAAAAAACGAGAGAGGCGAGGGAGAGAACGAGAGUGGCGAGCGAGAUUCACCAGGAGAGAGGUGAAAUAGCAACAGUUUGCUAUG
RNAcentral lists this long non-coding RNA (249 nucleotides) under Solanum tuberosum (potato). Its description in RNAcentral is "long non-coding RNA (STUB_LNC008762)". Lineage: Eukaryota; Viridiplantae; Streptophyta; Magnoliopsida; Solanales; Solanaceae. The record is from RNAcentral.